AGUAUUCCCGCCUGUGACGCGGGGCGGCAACGGCGAAUCCUUUUUUAUCCCGUCGACACUGUACUGGAGUUAGCAAUAGAUUUUGGUAAGGAUAUCGUCAGGUCGUUGUAGUAUAGUGGUAAGUAUUCCCGCCUGUCACGCGGGUGACCCGGGUUCGAUCCUCGGCAACGGCGAUUAUUUUUUAUCCGGUUGAAACUGUGGGCGUGUUGUUAUACAUUUAUUUCUGCCAUCGGAUCAUAAAGUCCUUGUAGUAUGGUGGUGACUGUACCCGCCUGUCACGCUGGUGACCCGGGUUCUUUCCCGGCAAUGGUGAUCUUUUUUAUUAUCCCCUCGAAACUGUGCGCUUGUUUGGUUGCAGAGGGAGGACCACCCCAUAUUUAUAUAUAUAUACAUAUAUAUAAAUAUGUUUUCGUCGUUAGAUAUUCUUAUUCGCAAGUGAAACGAAUUUCUUUCAAUGUCGUUGUUUUGAACUCCUCUACUUGAUUUUGCUUUUAUGCACCUAAUUAUUGCUGCCAUUUAAUUUCUUAGAAACAAAUCAAAUCCAAGUAUUCAUUUUCCUACCAAAUUGAUAGAAUAUUGGUGAAUAACGAAUGAAACUUGGAACGCAUAUCUGUUGUUUGCUGAUUUGUUUCCGUGAAGGCACUACAGUGAGCGAUGAAAAGAGAAAUGAGCGUGGGAUAUCAUGAAGUUCUGCUGUUCCUGCAUAUUAUGGAAUCUUCAUUGCAUCCAUGUCAAGGUCUUCGAAGAAGAUCUAAGUCAUCAUUCCUUGGACUUCUUUGUAGCAUCCCAAUUGACUUGCUGAGUUGGUAACUGGAUUUGGUAGCCUCAGAGACCUGUUUAUUUUUGUUUAGCUAUUCAUUUUGUGUUCUGAUAAGACAUUCUUUUUGUUUGUUAUCUGUGUAUAUAUAAUGGUCAACUAGCAUAAGCCAUAUGGGUCUAGGUCAUAUCCAUGAAUUGAUAUUUGUGGGUUACCACUUCUUUUCAAAAUUAAUAAAUUCUCAUUGACUUGC
This is a long non-coding RNA of Jatropha curcas, 1010 nucleotides long. RefSeq lists it as uncharacterized. NCBI's taxonomy places the organism in Eukaryota, Viridiplantae, Streptophyta, Magnoliopsida, Malpighiales, Euphorbiaceae. The record is from RefSeq and is a predicted model, not a curated record.